Molecule: long non-coding RNA, 944 nt
Organism: Ailuropoda melanoleuca (giant panda)
Lineage: Eukaryota; Metazoa; Chordata; Mammalia; Carnivora; Ursidae
Exons: 3
Source: RefSeq, a predicted model, not a curated record
GGNNGGGGUCUCGCACGUGAAGAAGGUGCCGCCUCCGGAUAGGGAGAUCCCGGGAGCAGGCACUGGCCGGGUACACGCUUGGCCCCGGGGUAGGCACCCUGGCCGCCGUCCCUUCCAGCACCCCCAAGAGCGGAGUACAGGCCCAGGAUUCCGUGGACAAGCGCCGAUGAACCAGCAGGGGAACGCGUCCGCACGCCGCGGCUGCAGUUUCUACGCAGACUGUUGGACGAAGAAGAAGAGACAGAAUUUGAGAAAACGGACGGGUUAUCCCCACACUGGGGUGUGGGUGAUAAUGUUUAGCUUUGACAGUGGAAUAAAGAAGUUUGCAGAAAUGUAUUGGGGUUAAAGGAAGAGGGCGGACAGGAUGCAGACUGGAGGAGGCAGCUGAGGUCCCUGCAGGCAUAACCCCAGCGGGCUCUCCAAGGCCACUUGCAGAAGCCGGCACCAGACAAGGGCUUUUAGCUCAUUGAGGACCUCGAGUCCUCUGUCAGGUAAGGUCAGAACAUCUAAGCUUCCCACUGCAGAUGCCGCAGAUGCCGCACAUGCCUCGCCAGGGAUGUAGCCGUGGGGAAGUGGCACCAGUCCACCCCAUCACCACCGAAGCUGGACCCAGCUCUCCAGGGCCCACCGCCAUGGUAGACCCUUCCAACUGCCGUGGCCUCUCAGGCUUAGACAUGUGAAGCUGGCUUCAACCCACCGUCUCCCUCGUCCCUUAGGCAGCCCCCACCCUGCCUACCCCCACCACAGGCCUGGCUCACUGCAGUCAAGAAGGGGCUGGUCACAGAGGUUGGGGUCCAACAAACAGUAAGAAGACAUUGAUGAGGGGGCACCUGGGUGGCUCAGUCGUUAAGAGUCUGCCUUCAGCUCAGGUCAUGAUCCCAGAGUCCUGGGAGCCAGGCAUUGGGCUCCCCGCUCAGCAGGAAGCCUGCUUCUCCCUCUCCCAC